ACACAGGGAGGUAGUGACAAGAAAUAACAAUCGGGGCUCAACGCCUUGUAAUGGAAUGAUGGGAAUCUAAACCCCUUCCAGAGUAUCAAUGGAGGGCAAGUUGGUGCCAGCAGCCGCGGUAAUUCCAGCUCAAUAGCGUAUAUUAAAAUUGUUGCAGUUAAAAAGUGUAGUUGAAUUUUUGUGGAUCGUUGCGGCCCUCCGGGCCGGGCGGUGCGGUUAUUUUGGGUUCGCUGCGUUUUCGGAAGUUUACUUUGAGAAAAUUAGAGUGUCAAAGCCGGCCCUUGCCUUGAAUACUUUAGCAUGGAAUAAUAAAGUAGGACUUUGGUUCUAUUUUGUUGGUAG
RNAcentral lists this ribosomal RNA (342 nucleotides) under Theileria sp. Its description in RNAcentral is "SSU rRNA". It matches the Rfam family "Eukaryotic small subunit ribosomal RNA", at positions 454 to 850 of the family's 1831-position model. Lineage: Eukaryota; Apicomplexa; Aconoidasida; Piroplasmida; Theileriidae. The record is from RNAcentral.